Long non-coding RNA from Hemicordylus capensis (graceful crag lizard), 960 nucleotides. RefSeq lists it as uncharacterized. Lineage: Eukaryota; Metazoa; Chordata; Lepidosauria; Squamata; Cordylidae. The record is from RefSeq and is a predicted model, not a curated record. The transcript has 2 exons.
UAAAGCCUCCUACGUGCUUGCUGCCAUAUAUAAAGAGUCCCUUAUUAUUGGCUGUAAUUUCUUUUCUUUUCCGUGUCCUGAUAAAAAUCAUUCUAUAAAACAAAACAAAAUAGGGUGGUUGUUUUUUUUUUAAAUGAGGCCCCGUGCUAUGCUGAGAUUUACUGGCUGACAUCCUGACUAAUGUAGCGCUGAUGCUCUAAUGCCUGCAGAACUGGAUAUGGCAACCCAAGAUAGGAAGAAAUGAGGCCCUGCCAGUGUGGACAUCACUCUCACUGCCAUUUUCAACUCUGCUCAAAAAAACUGAUUUAUGUUGCUUCUGUGUAUUUAUCAUUGUUUUAGAUGUGCAACUGUGUUUGCUGCUCCGAGAAGUUUUCUCCAUAAGCGUAGAAGUGUGACGAGAAGGAGAGGGAGAGAAUGAACAACCUACACGUCUAAAACCAAAAAGUCCUGAAGGUUCCAAGUAACCAUGCACAAAAAGAUAAUUAUGGCUAAAAACAGCCUUUUUGCCCCUUAUUGGGCUGACCAAACUCUCCUCCCUGCAGCCAAACUACUAAUUUCUUGCUUAAGUUCCUUAUUGGCGCUUUGGUAGCAGAGGAUGGAAUGCCUUGAUUCUAAAAGAGAAGCCUGCCUGCUAAACUUCAGAACUUUGCUGGAUUCUGAAAGAAAGGUCGAAUUGCAUGGAAACUUUGGCUUCAGGGGUCACUGGGACAAGUGAUGCCAUCAUCAGCCUGUCUCUGUUGACUUAUCUCUAUUGUUGCCAUUUGUUUGAUGUGUUAAGGGCUUAGCUGCUCCUUCUUCAUUGUGGCGGAAAGAUCAAAGGCUUGCCAAAGUUGUUCCAAUUCAAAGUAUUGCUUCUCCUACUUUGUCUACUUCGUUAAUUACCUUGUAGCAGUUUUAUCCUCUGUCUUUGUCUCUUUUAUAAAUUGAUUGCCUAAUAUUAUUCUUACAUCUUUCACAGUA